GACGAACGCUGGCGGCGUGCCUAAUACAUGCAAGUUGAGCGAUGAAGAUUGGUGCUUGCCCCAAUUUGAAGAGCAGCGAACGGGUGAGUAACGCGUGGGGAAUCUGCCUUUGAGCGGGGGACAACAUUUGGAAACGAAUGCUAAUACCGCAUAAUAACUUUAAACAUAAGUUUUAAGUUUGAAAGAUGCAAUUGCAUCACUCAAAGAUGAUCCCGCGUUGUAUUAGCUAGUUGGUGAGGUAAAGGCUCACCAAGGCGAUGAUACAUAGCCGACCUGAGAGGGUGAUCGGCCACAUUGGGAAUGAGACACGGCCCAAACUCCUACGGGAGGCAGCAGUAGGGAAUCUUCGGCAAUGGACGAAAGUCUGACCGAGCAACGCCGCGUGAGUGAAGAAGGUUUUCGGAUCGUAAAACUCUGUUGGUAGAGAAGAACGUUGGUGAGAGUGGAAAGCUCAUCAAGUGACGGUAACUACCCAGAAAGGGACGGCUAACUACGUG
Molecule: ribosomal RNA, 497 nt
Filed under: uncultured bacterium
Lineage: Bacteria
Description: partial 16S ribosomal RNA
Rfam family: Bacterial small subunit ribosomal RNA
Source: RNAcentral